UGCCAUGACUAAUACAUGCAGUCGAGCGGACAGAUGGGAGCUUGCUCCCUGAUGUCAGCGGCGGACGGGUGAGUAACUGGUGGGUAACCUGCCUGUAAGACUGGGAUAACUCCGGGAAACCGGGGCUAAUACCGGAUGCUUGAUUGAACCGCAGGGUUCAAUUAUAAAAGGUGGCUUUUACCUACCCCUUCCGAAGGGACCCGCGGCGCAUUAGUAAGUGGGUGAGGUAACGGCUCACCAAGGCAAAAAUGCGAAGCCAACCGGAAAGGGUGAUCGGCAAACCGGGAACUGAAACCCGGCCCAAACUCCUACGGGGGGCAGCAUUAGGGAAUCUUCCGCAAGGGACAAAACUCUGACGGACCACCGCCGCGGGAGGGAUGAAGGUUUUCGGAUCUUAAAAUUCUGUUGUUAGGGAAAAACAAGUACCGUUCAAUUAGGGCGUUACCUUGACGGUCCCUAACCAAAAAGCCACGGCUAACUACGUGCCACCAGCCGCGGUAUUACGUAGGUGGCAAUUAUUGGUCCGUAAAUUAUUGCGCAGUAAGGCGCGCGCAGUCUGUUUUUUUAGUCUGAUGCUGAAACCCCC
RNAcentral lists this ribosomal RNA (586 nucleotides) under Bacillus licheniformis. RNAcentral describes it as "bacterial SSU rRNA". It matches the Rfam family "Bacterial small subunit ribosomal RNA", at positions 40 to 605 of the family's 1533-position model. Lineage: Bacteria; Bacillati; Bacillota; Bacilli; Caryophanales; Bacillaceae. The record is from RNAcentral.